Molecule: long non-coding RNA, 307 nt
Filed under: Homo sapiens (human)
Lineage: Eukaryota; Metazoa; Chordata; Mammalia; Primates; Hominidae
Description: non-protein coding lnc-ZBTB7C-8:1
Source: RNAcentral
AUCUUCAUUUCUAUGGCUUAAAAAGAAAGCUGGGGUUCUCUGGUUGGGUUGAGACAGGGAGGAAGGCUGUUCUCCCAGCCUGAAAGAGCUGCCUCUGUUGCCCCGUGUCCCUGUGACCUUCUGUGCUGUUUGGAGAAAGGAGGCUGUGUGAGUCUCCGCAUAAUGGAGACUGAAGGGAUGCUGGCUUUUGAAAGCCCUCACCUCUCCAUUCUCUCCCUGGGGAAACUGGGGGAUAAUUGGGGAUUAUAUGCAGCCUCUAGGACACAGGGCCCUUUCAGCAUGACUGUCUCCUGGGAUUGGCUGUAUU